UACGAAGGGGGCUAGCGUUGUUCGGAUUUACUGGGCGUAAAGCGCACGUAGGCGGAUCGAUCAGUCAGGGGUGAAAUCCCAGAGCUCAACUCUGGAACUGCCUUUGAUACUGUCGAUCUGGAGUAUGGAAGAGGUGAGUGGAAUUCCGAGUGUAGAGGUGAAAUUCGUAGAUAUUCGGAGGAACACCAGGGGCGAAGGCGGCUCACUGGUCCAUUACUGACGCUGAGGUGCGAAAGCGUGGGGAGCAAACAGG
This 253-nucleotide ribosomal RNA is filed under the name uncultured bacterium. Its description in RNAcentral is "partial 16S ribosomal RNA". It matches the Rfam family "Bacterial small subunit ribosomal RNA", at positions 524 to 776 of the family's 1533-position model. The record is from RNAcentral.